Molecule: long non-coding RNA, 3298 nt
Organism: Capra hircus (goat)
Lineage: Eukaryota; Metazoa; Chordata; Mammalia; Artiodactyla; Bovidae
Source: Ensembl
CUAACUUGCCCCCGAUUUGCCCAAAGAGGGACAAAGGCCAGGGAAGCUGCUGGCAAGUGUAAGGGAAAUGCUUUUGUUCAGGAGAGAUCCUAGCCAAAGCUCCUAGGAAUUUUUCCAAGCCCAGCCCUUAGGAAUUUGCCUGGGUGGAGUUAUUCACACCAGAGAUGUCAGGCAGGUUUAGACCCAUGGGUUCCUCUCUGGCUUUCCAAGCAGCCAAGAGCGACAUUUCCCAAAUCCAGGACACAAGUGCCAGUAAGAGCAGUCCAGUCACUGCACACCCUAAAUGACCAGAUAUCCCAUUUUAUUGUCACCAAGUCAAAGGCGCUGGAGGAGGACCAAGACCCUUUUCUUCCCACUGAGAAGGAGACGCUCAAGAGUUCCAUGAUAUUGAUGAGGCACCUCUUAAUGGAUGCUCAGUGCUUUAACUGUAAAAGAAAAUUUGGAAAAUACAAGAUUUACAGAACUAAACCUGGAUCUCCGUAUGUGACAUGCAGCAAGGCCAAUCUACUGACACUGGAUUGUGGUGAAGGAAAAUACAGCAUUUAUUUCAGGGCCAAGCAAGGAGAAUGAGCAACACAUACUCAAAGACCCAAUCCCUUUGGCAGAGGGUUUUAAUGACAGUGUGAGGGAGAGGGCUGCAGAGUGCCUGAUUGGCCUAUACACAGUUCUCUGAUUGGCUGUUGAUGAGGUAAUAGGGUGAUGUUUCAGAAAUCUCAGUCAUCAACCUUCUGGUUCCAACUAGUAUUGGAUCUAUGUGCUGGUUGCUGUUUUUGUUCAGUUGCUGUCACGUCCAGCCCUUUUGCUGGACUGUAGCCCAUCAGUCUCCUCUGUCCAUGGAAUUCUCCAGGCAAAAAUACUGGAGUUGAACAAAAAGAGUGGCCAUUUCCUUCUCCAGGGGAUCUUCCGACCCAGGAAUCAAACCUGUGUCUCCUGUAUUGGCAGGUGGAUUAUCCACCUGUGGAAGCCCCUACAUAUUAGUAGUUAGCAGGUAACUUAUUCCACCUGGGGGUGGUUUUAGUCUCUGAAAGACAACUCAAGGAUAUGGCUCAGGAUAUUAUCUACAGACCUUGAGAAGGAACUAAAGGUUUUGACUUUGUUUUAUGGCUGAACAAUUAUUAUUUUGUCUUACUUGGCUGUUUUCCUUUGUUUCUGUAUUUUCUUACUCCUCUGAUUAAAUUUGUUCUUUGGGACUCAGGGAGACCUAGAAGGUAAAGCAAGAGGUGGGGGUCAUGGUGGGUAUCUAUCUUACUUGUUUUUCAUGAUUUAAUGACUUAUCAUAUCUGUUUUCUAGUCCAUAGAGUCAGUUUGGUGUUUUUUUGUUUGUUUGUUUUUCUGAAGGAAUAUAAGUGUCUGCAUAAACACCCAAAAACAUGUGGUUGCGUUUAGACCUUAUGUGCGGUUUUGGUUUUCAGUGGAUAAGCGAAAAAAUUAUAGUGCUCCUUGCUUAUUGUUCAUUGCAAUAACCUUGCCAUAUACCAGUGGAGGAAAGGAAAUCUUGGGCAAAAUUGUGCAGUUCUCUUUGUGGGCUGUUUGGUGAAUUCUAACAACCCCUCCCCUAUCGUUACUUCGAGUGUCAUGGAAACUGCUGUACAGUCUGCAGUGAUUAGACAUCAUCCCCUGCAGUCCACAGGGUCACAAAGAGUCACAUGUGACUCAGAGGCUAAACCAUCACCACCACCCUGCACCCUGGUUAAGUAUUCUCUGCAUAUACACUUUGUACUGUUUUUUUCUACCUAACGUCAUGAGCAUUUUCCCCGUGUCAUUAAGCAUUUCUCAAAAUUGAAUUAUUAGUGGCUGCUGUGAGACAAUAGAAAAUAUAUGGUCUCUGUCUUCUGUUUAUAGUACAAAGGUCCUUAGACUCUUGUAAUUUCCUAAUUGAUAGGAGCAUCUUUUGUUCUAAUAUUUGGUCUUUGACCCUCAUCUGUGACACAGAGUUCCUGAAACCCUUGCAAUUUCCUGGAUGGUAGGAGUGUCUUUUGUUCUAAUGAAGUGACUCUGAGUGAUCUCCUGGGUGGCUUCUUGAUGAGGGCUUGUCACCAGAAAGACCAAGCUUAAAAUCUCCAGCCCCAAACCUUCAUUUCUAUUGAGAUCAGGGAGAAGGGUUGAAAAUGGACUUAGUGAUCAAUCAUGCCUAUGUGAUGAAGCCUCUAUUUUAAAAAAUCCCGGAAAUAUGAGGCUUGGCGAGCUUCCAGAUGGGUGAACACUUCCACACUGGCAGGGUGACACACUUCUGACUUUAAGGGGACAAAAGUUCCUGCACCCAGAGCCCUCCCUGUGUAUCUCUUUAUUUAGCUGUUCAUCUGUAUCCUUUAUCAUAUUCUUUAAUAAACUGACAUGUUUAAGUAAGUGUUUCCCUGAAUUCUGUGAGCCACUCUAGCAAAUUAAUCAAACUGAGGAAGGAGUCAGGGCAGAGAACCUCCAAUUUGUAGCCAAAUUGGACAGAAGUUGUGGGUUACCUGGGGGCCUACUAUGCAGUUGGCAUCUGAAGUGAGUUGGGAGUAGCCUUACAGGUCUGAGCCCUUAACCUGUGGGGUCUGGUUAUCUCCAGGUAAAUUAGAUCGUAUGAUACCCAACUGCCGUUGAAGAAAAUUACUUGACGUGGUGAAAAACCCAUAUGCAUUUGGUGACUGGAAGUGUCAGAAGUGAUGUAUGCUAAGCAGUAAACGAGACUCACAAUAGAGAACCACAGUAGAGAAGAAAUGGAUUCUUCCCUAUUCGGGAAGAAAGCUGUAGGUGUUUUCUAGUGUUUCAGCUGCAUAACAUGUCAUUGUGUGGCUGUGUCAGCAUUUAGUUAACCAUUCCCGCGAAUCUGGGCACUAAGGGUCCCCUCCCCCCAGGUUUUUCAUUGCUAUAAAUAACACAGUGAUAAAUCUCAUUGUAAAUGGAUCUUUGUGUGCAUUUCUAAUCUUUCCUUCCAAUAAAUUGCCAAAGGUGAUUCUAGGAGGUCAAAGGGAAUGAACACUUUUACAGAAUUGUAUUGCUUAUUGCCAAGUUCCAGACCUUUAGAAUGCCAGUGCAUUUGCUGGUAACAGUUGUAAAUAUCCUCUCCAGACCUUCAUGUUUCGUAAAGCUUUGUCAUGAUGACCAAAAUAUCAAAAACUGAAAUAAAUUCAGGAUCCAAAACUACUGUUCACUCACCCCUACCUAAUUCUGACUGUGUUGGAUCCUAUCUUUAUUUCAAAUUGUGAUAUUUUGUGUCUCAUGGGUUGUUUUGCAUUAAUCUUGACUUUUAAAAAAUUGUAUUAAAAUAUUAUUUAUCUUGAUUACUGAGGUUGUUGGUAUCCUUUAUAUUUCCCCC